UUCAAGAGGUUCAAGAAAAUGACUUGCUGC
RNAcentral lists this non-coding RNA (30 nucleotides) under Mus musculus (house mouse). Lineage: Eukaryota; Metazoa; Chordata; Mammalia; Rodentia; Muridae. The record is from RNAcentral.